GAUGAACGCUGGCGGCGUGCCUAAUACAUGCCAGUCGAGCGAACAGACGAGGAGCUUGCUCCUCUGACGUUAGCGGCGGACGGGUGAGUAACACGUGGAUAACCUGCCUAUAAGACUGGGAUAACUUCGGGAAACCGGAGCUAAUACCGGAUAAUAUAUUGAACCGCAUGGUUCAAUAGUGAAAGACGGUUUUGCUGUCACUUAUAGAUGGAUCCGCGCCGCAUUAGCUAGUUGGUAAGGUAACGGCUUACCAAGGCGACGAUGCGUAGCCGACCUGAGAGGGUGAUCGGCCACACUGGAACUGAGACACGGUCCAGACUCCUACGGGAGGCAGCAGUAGGGAAUCUUCCGCAAUGGGCGAAAGCCUGACAGAGCAACGCCGCGUGAGUGAUGAGGGUCUUCGGAUCGUAAAACUCUGUUAUUAGGGAAGAACAAAUGUGUAAGUAACUAUGCACGUCUUGACGGUACCUAAUCAGAAAGCCACGGCUAACUACGUG
RNAcentral lists this ribosomal RNA (497 nucleotides) under uncultured bacterium. RNAcentral's name for it is "partial 16S ribosomal RNA". It matches the Rfam family "Bacterial small subunit ribosomal RNA", at positions 28 to 507 of the family's 1533-position model. The record is from RNAcentral.